CUUAAGUAAAAGUUUCGUCAUUCAGGGUAAUGUUUUGUCAUUCGGUGUAAUGCAAAUUGUAUGUUACACCACAGUGUCAUCCAUUACACUGAAUGAGAGUGUCACUGUUUAGAUAACAUUUUUAGCAUUUUAUUUCUAUUUCAGAUAAAUGAGGGAUGUUUAGCACAAAAAAAAAAUAUCAAACUUUAUCAAUAUUAAUGUUUUAAUGCAUUUUUGUCGUUUUGGUACUGAUUUCUUUUAGAUGCCCACAAACAAAAAGUUUCUAGGCACUAGCAGAAAGUUAAUGCAGACCCAGUAGCUAGGGCAAUGCAUUUAGCAAGGAGACGAGAAAGCAACCAGAGAAGAAAGCAAGCUGCCUUGGCUGCAAAUCCUGAUCACCUGUCAAUCAGGAAUUUAUCAGAUGCUGCAGCUGAGAAGAGGCAAAAGCAAUGGCGGGAAAAUCAAAGUAAACACAGGGCAGAAGCUAAACGUAUAAGGGCAGUUCUGGAUCUUAUUAUACAGUAUUACCACCUGUUCAGUUAAUUUUUACGAAUAUGAUAUGUAUUGUGGAAUAAAAUGAUUAUUAAUUUCA
Non-coding RNA from Misgurnus anguillicaudatus (oriental weatherfish), 571 nucleotides. NCBI's taxonomy places the organism in Eukaryota, Metazoa, Chordata, Actinopteri, Cypriniformes, Cobitidae. The record is from RefSeq and is a predicted model, not a curated record.